This 820-nucleotide ribosomal RNA is filed under the name uncultured bacterium. RNAcentral describes it as "bacterial SSU rRNA". It matches the Rfam family "Bacterial small subunit ribosomal RNA", at positions 86 to 920 of the family's 1533-position model. The record is from RNAcentral.
AGGUGGAAAGUGGCGAACGGGUGAGUAACACGUUGGUGACCUGCCUCGAGGCGGGGGAUAACCGUGGGAAACCACGGCUAAUACCCCAAAUGUCAAGAAGUUUAGACGCUCUUGACUAAAGCUCCGGCGCCUCGAGAGGGGCCUGCGGGCUAUCAGCUUGUUGGUGGGGUAAUGGCCUACCAAGGCUAAGACGGCUAGGGGGCGUGAGAGCGCGACCCCCCACAAUGGGACUGAGACACGGCCCAUACUCCUACGGGAGGCAGCAGUGAGGAAUAUUGCGCAAUGGGGGCAACCCUGACGCAGCAACGCCGCGUGGACGAUGAAGGCCUUCGGGUUGUAAAGUCCUUUUCUGAGGGAAGAUAGUGACGGUACCUCAGGAAUAAGUCCCGGCUAACUACGUGCCAGCAGCCGCGGUAAAACGUAGGGGGCGAGCGUUAUCCGGAUUUACUGGGCGUAAAGCGCGCGUAGGCGGCGCUGUAAGUUGGACGUGAAAGCUCUCGGCUCAACUGAGAGAGGUCGUUCAAUACUGCGGUGCUUGAGGUUGACAGAGGAGAGUGGAAUUCCCGGUGUAGUGGUGGAAUGCGUAGAUAUCGGGAGGAUCACCCAGUGGCGAAAGGCGGCUCUCUGGGUCAUACCUGACGUUGAGGUGCGAAAAGCGUGGGGAGCGAACGGGAUUAGAUACCCCGGUAGUCACGCUGUAAACGAUGGAUACUAGGUGUAGGAGGUUACUUACCCCCUUCUGUGCCGGAGUUAACGCGUUAAGUAUCCCGCCUGGGGGACUACGGCCGCAAGGUUAAAACUCAAAGGAAUUGACGGGGGC